This 479-nucleotide ribosomal RNA is filed under the name uncultured bacterium. RNAcentral's name for it is "partial 16S ribosomal RNA". It matches the Rfam family "Bacterial small subunit ribosomal RNA", at positions 28 to 507 of the family's 1533-position model. The record is from RNAcentral.
GAUGAACGCUGGCGGCGUGCUUAACACAUGCAAGUCGAACGAAGCACUUAAGAUUGAUUCUUCGGAUGACGUCUUUUGUGACUUAGCGGCGGACGGGUGAGUAACGCGUGGGUAACCUGCCUCACACAGGGGGAUAACAGUUAGAAAUGACUGCUAAUACCGCAUAACCCGAUAGGAUCGCAUGAUCCAGACGGAAAAGAUUUAUCGGUGUGAGAUGGACCCGCGUCUGAUUAGCUAGUUGGUGAGGUAACGGCCCACCAAGGCGACGAUCAGUAGCCGGCCUGAGAGGGUGAACGGCCACAUUGGGACUGAGACACGGCCCAAACUCCUACGGGAGGCAGCAGUGGGGAAUAUUGCACAAUGGGGGAAACCCUGAUGCAGCGACGCCGCGUGAGUGAAGAAGUAUUUCGGUAUGUAAAGCUCUAUCAGCAGGGAAGAAAAUGACGGUACCUGACUAAGAAGCCCCGGCUAACUACGUG